AGUGCAAACUGUCUGCUGUCAAUAAACUUUCAAAUGUGAAAUGUAAAUGUAAAUUUAUUUUGUGGAAAUUUAUGGAACUGUGACGUAUUUUAUUAUUAUCACAUCUAAUUACUAUGCCUACAGGCCGCGCUGUUUUGUUAUUACGACGUUUGUCGACAGGUGAUAAUAGAUUAAAAAAUAUUAAUUUAAACCACCACACUUCAAAGGAGUCUUUAUUUAUAAACCCGGUUUGCUUAAAUCGGUAUUUAAGCUUUAGCAAAAGAUUUUCUUCAUUUGGACAUACUUAUCUGUUGCCACCACAACGAACAAGAAGUAUCAGUGAUACUGUCAUCAGAAUGGCAACAGGUAAUACAGAUUCUAACCAAGCUGCAAAUCCAAAACAUACAAACAGAUUGAUUACUGAAAAAUCACCAUAUUUAUUGCAACAUGCUCACAAUCCAGUAGACUGGUAUCCAUGGUGCCAAGAAGCUAUUGAUAAAGCUAAAGAAGAAAACAAACUUAUAUUUCUUUCUGUGGGAUAUUCUACAUGUCACUGGUGUCAUGUUAUGGAAAAAGAAUCUUUUGAAAAUGAAGAUGUUGCAAAGGUUAUGAAUGAGCAUUUUAUUAACAUAAAAGUUGAUCGUGAAGAAAGACCAGAUUUAGAUCGAGUUUAUAUGCUUUUCAUCAUGGCAACUCAGGGAGGUGGGGGGUGGCCUAUGUCAGUUUUUCUUACACCUGAUUUACGCCCAGUAACAGGUGGCACUUAUUUUCCACCAGAAGAUCGCUGGGGACGCCCUGGUUUUAAAACAAUCUUGUUGUCUUUAGCGAAAAAGUGGAAAGAUAACCAGGCUCAGUUCCUUGAAGCUAGUAGUAAUAUUAUGGAUGCCUUAGAAAAUAUCUCUAAAGUAGAUGUGGAGACUACAUCGAUACCCGGCGAAGCAACAUGGAAUAAAUGUGUACGACGUUAUAUGGCGUCAUUCGAACCACAAUUUGGCGGAUUCGGGACAGCUCCAAAAUUUCCUCAAGCUUCCAUACUGAAUUUUUUAUUUCACUUUUACGCAAGGGACAAAAAUUAUGCAGAAGGAAAAAAGUGCUUAGAAAUGUGCUUACACACUUUAACUAAAAUUGCUAAAGGUGGCAUUCACGACCAUGUAUCCAGUGGAUUCGCUCGUUAUUCUGUAGAUAAUGAUUGGCAUGUUCCGCAUUUUGAAAAAAUGCUUUAUGAUCAAGCCCAAUUAAUGGUUGCUUACACUGAUGCCUACCUUGCAACAAAGAAUGAGUUUUUUGCAGAAGUUGUCCGUGACAUAGUUAAAUAUGUAAACAGAGAUUUACGACAUGAAUUAGGAGGUUAUUACAGUGCAGAAGAUGCAGAUUCGUAUCCAACAUUUGGUGCAUUACAAAAGAGAGAAGGAGCGUUUUGUGUGUGGGAGUAUAACGAAUUGGAAGCUCUUCUUGGACAUAAAACAAUUGGAGCUUUAUCUUAUUUAGAAAUAUUUUGUGAUUACUUCAGUGUAGAAGAAAAUGGUAAUAUAUCACCUGAUAGUGACCCUCACGAAGAGCUUACAAAUAAAAAUGUUCUAAUCGUAUAUGGAAGUAAAGAAGAAACUAUGUCGAAAUUCGGUCUUACGCAAGAUCAAUUCAAUGAAGUAAUAUCUGAUUGUAUUAAUAUAUUGUACGAAGAGCGAUUAAAGAGGCCAAGACCACAUUUAGAUACUAAAAUUCUGUGCUCUUGGAAUGGGCUAAUACUCGCUGGCUUAUCACAGGCUGGACAAGGCUUAGGCGAAAAAAGCUUUGUAGAAGAUGCAAUUAAAACUGCGCAAUUCGUCAAAGAACACCUCUUUGACCCUAACACUAACACUCUCCUUCAUUCUUGUUAUAAAUCUGAUGAUGGAAACAUUGUUCAAACUAAUCAGCCUAUUCAAGGAUUUUUGGACGACUACGCUUUUCUAAUUAAGGGUUUGCUGGACUUGUAUGAAGCAUCUCUUGACUUAAAUUGGCUUAAUUGGGCACGUGAAUUGCAAAUGAAGCAGAAUGAGUUAUUCUGGGACGAUGAAAAUGGAGGAUAUUUCACAUGUUCUACUGAGGAUAAUACUGUCGUUUUAAGGUUAAAGGAAGAUCAAGAUGGUGCAGAACCAUCAGGCAACAGUGUCUCAUGUCACAACUUACUACGCCUGGCAGCUUAUGCAGACAAAAGCGCUAUGUCCGAAGGAGGUGAACUAGAGAAAGAAAUGGCAAAAAAAAUAUUAAUGGCCUUUUCAAAGCGUUUAAAUGACACGCCUACAGCUCUGCCUGAAAUGAUGUCUGCACUCAUGUUCUAUAAUGAUUCUCCUACACAGGUUUUAAUAGCGGGUGGUUGCUCGGACCCGCGCACGUUGGAGUUGGUGCGCGUGGUGCGCUCGCGGCUGCUGCCGGGCCGAGUGCUCGCCGUGGCCGACCCCGCCGCCGACGCGCCCGCCGGUAUGUCCGACAUACUGCUGGCGCGCGUGCGCAGUGCGGGCGACGUGCCGACGGCGUACGUGUGUCGGCGCUACGCGUGCUCGCUGCCCGUCACCGACAGCAAGCAGCUCGGCGACCUGCUCGACGAGUAGCGCGCAUCGACAGGGAGGACUCUCGGUAGUACGACUGCUCGAUGCUGAAUUCUUUGACAUUGUUUUAUUUACAGUAACAUAUAUAUUUUUAAAGAUUUUUUUUGUUCUCAUAGAUUUUAUUUCAGUAUUUGUUGUGAUUUUUUGUUGUUUUAUUUCAAGAAUUCUCGUUUUUGAGUUAUUUUGGAUUUGGUGGAUCGAAAUGUAGUGUUAACUGCUAAAAUAAAACUAAAAUGUUUUAACAUAUUCUAUGUCAAAAUUAUACGAGUACGUAUCUCUUAUCAACAUUUUAGAUGUAUUUGAUUUUAUGCAAUGACAAUAAAUACACCGUCAUUAAAAUACAAAAUAGAACAAUACAUUUUGGUAGUUAGAAAAUAAUAUUAAAUAAAAAGUAACAUACAAUGACAAUUAUUAUAUCUCUAUAUCUAAAUUCGAUUACUUUAUCAAAACAUUGGUAAAUUCUAACAAAAGUUAACCUUUGACAAUAACAAACAUGAAUAAAUAUUUAGGAUUUUAUUGUUUUUAUCUGUAAAAUUCUAGGAUAGUUUACCGUUCUUAGUGAAACGUUUAUAAACCAUUAAAUCUAUUCAAAACUUCCGUAGAAUGCUUCAACUUGUUCUAAUAUAUAGUAAUAAAAAAAAUAUGUUCUAUAAAUUAUUUAAUAAAUUCAUUAUUUUAUGUAUUUUAUCCUAAACUAAAUUUGGUGCAAUUUCAUAAUUGAUGUUUAACGAUAUUGGAUAUAACAAUUUCUUGAUAAUAAUUAUUAGACAUUUAAAUGAAAUAUUUUCAGCCUUACUUAUUAUAUACUGGUGUUUAGUGAAAACCUUGAUUUAUCUUUGUGCCAUCCUCUAUUCGUUACUAAUGGAACCUUAAACAAUGUUUAUUGGUAAAGUCAUUGAUUUCGUAAUCUUAUCUAAUAUUUACUAUUUUUGAUCUCUAGUUUAUAGGUGGUUAACUAUACUUCUACGUAACAGAAUAAAUCAGUAUGAUAAUAGCUUCGCAAAUUAAUUUUAGUAGGACACUUCAAAUACUUCAAGUAACAUAAUUGCAUGCCUAAUAAAAUAUUCUUUCAGCUAUUAUUUCGAAAUAUACCUAUGAUUACUCCUCUAUAAGUUGGGAGAUAUGUCUGAAUAAAUUGUGAUAGCUUAGCUCGAAUAGUCUCCAUAGUGAAACGGAAUAGAAUUAAUAAUACUCAUUGUUAUUAUUAUUCUCAACGAAUGAGACGAGUCCUUAGAGUAUGUUAAUUAUAUAUUAUUCUAAUAUAUUGUACUAUUGUACACAUUUAUUUUAUUUAUAUUUCUUUUAGUAAUUAGUCAUUGCUAAGCAAUUUUUGUUCACGUUAUUAUGCAAUAAAAUAAAAAU
This is an RNA transcript of Vanessa atalanta (red admiral), 3926 nucleotides long. It is a transcript of the gene named spermatogenesis-associated protein 20, with no coding region annotated. The transcript has 7 exons. Lineage: Eukaryota; Metazoa; Arthropoda; Insecta; Lepidoptera; Nymphalidae. The record is from RefSeq and is a predicted model, not a curated record.